CGGGAGACAUUUUUUAAGUAUACAAGCCCAGCACACUUCACCCGCUAAUAUUUCCCACAAUCCACCGGGAGCCGCGCUGAGCUGAGUGACCCGUCAGUGAGCGGCGGAGCGGCGGAGGAGAGGAGUGGAGAGAGAGAAGUUUAUGAGAUUCAACUAUCCUUCCUACUCGAGAGGAUGAAGAUGAAGAGAGGGAGAAAAAUGAACAAUGAAUAAAAAAAAUAAAUAAAGCUACUUUAAA
Long non-coding RNA from Astyanax mexicanus (Mexican tetra), 238 nucleotides. RefSeq lists it as uncharacterized. Lineage: Eukaryota; Metazoa; Chordata; Actinopteri; Characiformes; Acestrorhamphidae. The record is from RefSeq and is a predicted model, not a curated record. The transcript is spliced from 2 exons.